Molecule: unclassified non-coding RNA, 297 nt
Filed under: Acanthaster planci (crown-of-thorns starfish)
Lineage: Eukaryota; Metazoa; Echinodermata; Asteroidea; Valvatida; Acanthasteridae
Description: uncharacterized LOC110973198, transcript variant X1
Source: RNAcentral
UUACAUAAUGGUUCUUUCCGGGUAUGAUUCGGUUCAUGCGCACACGUCGUGUGCAUUCGCCAUGUUCUUCAGAAGCAAAGAUGGCCGCCUGUCGAUGUAAACCUGGUCCAUGUGUAGCUCCAAAAGUGUGCCCAAAACUCCACAUUUCUGUCCUAUGAUGUUCAGCUCUUCAAUGCCUAUUGGAAUCGUCUUCAUUUGGCGAUCAAAUUCGAGGGAUUGUCAAAUUCUGGACUGGCCAAAACACAAGACGGUUUGUUCCAGAAAGGUAUCUUCCUGCAGCAAAACACUGGACACGGA